Regulatory RNA element from Astyanax mexicanus (Mexican tetra), 54 nucleotides. It matches the Rfam family "UnaL2 LINE 3' element". Rfam says of the family: The eel long interspersed element (LINE) UnaL2 and its partner short interspersed element (SINE) share a conserved 3' tail containing a stem-loop that is critical for their retrotransposition. Presumably, the first step of retrotransposition is the recognition of their 3' tails by UnaL2-encoded reverse transcriptase. The record is from Rfam. NCBI's taxonomy places the organism in Eukaryota, Metazoa, Chordata, Actinopteri, Characiformes, Acestrorhamphidae.
GUACUUCAUUAUUGUAAGUCGCUUUGGACAAAAGCGUCUGCCAAAUGUAAUGUA